This 433-nucleotide ribosomal RNA is filed under the name Hemerotrecha neotena. Its description in RNAcentral is "partial 16S ribosomal RNA". It matches the Rfam family "Bacterial large subunit ribosomal RNA", at positions 1911 to 2570 of the family's 2925-position model. The record is from RNAcentral. Lineage: Eukaryota; Metazoa; Arthropoda; Arachnida; Solifugae; Eremobatidae.
AAUGAAUUAAUUUAAUAGCCGCAGUAUAUUGACUGUGCAAAGGUAGCAUAAUAAAUUGUCUCUUAAUUGGGGGCUGGAAUGAAUGAUGGGAUGUGAUGGAUGCUGUCUUUAUAAUAAUUGAUUGAAAUUUACUUUUUGAUGAGAAGGUUAAGAUAAUAUUGAUAGACGAGAAGACCCUAUUAAGCUUUAUUUGGAUGGUGAUUUUGUUGUGUUAAUUUGGUUAGUGAAUUUUUGUCUAGAUUUUGUUGGGGCAAUGUUUGAAUAUAUUGUAAUUUUUUAAUGUCAGUUAGGUUGUGAUCCGUCUUUGACGAUUAGUGGAGUAAGUUACUGUAGGGAUAACAGCGUAAUCAGUUUGGAGAGUUCAUAUUGGUAAAUUGGAUUGCGACCUCGAUGUUGGUUUAAUGAGUCUUUAGGGUGUAGCAGCUUUAGAAGA